RNAcentral lists this ribosomal RNA (679 nucleotides) under Lactobacillus amylolyticus. RNAcentral's name for it is "bacterial SSU rRNA". It matches the Rfam family "Bacterial small subunit ribosomal RNA", at positions 57 to 704 of the family's 1533-position model. Lineage: Bacteria; Bacillati; Bacillota; Bacilli; Lactobacillales; Lactobacillaceae. The record is from RNAcentral.
GCAGUCGAGCGAGCAGAACUAACAGAUCUACUUCGGUAGUGACGUUUCGGAAGCGAGCGGCGGAUGGGUGAGUAACACGUGGGUAACCUGCCCUUAAGUCUGGGAUACCACUUGGAAACAGGUGCUAAUACCGGAUAACAACAAGUGCUGCAUGGCACUUGCUUGAAAGGCGGCGCAAGCUGUCACUAAAGGAUGGACCCGCGGUGCAUUAGCUAGUUGGUAAGGUAACGGCUUACCAAGGCAACGAUGCAUAGCCGAGUUGAGAGACUGAUCGGCCACAUUGGGACUGAGACACGGCCCAAACUCCUACGGGAGGCAGCAGUAGGGAAUCUUCCACAAUGGGCGAAAGCCUGAUGGAGCAACGCCGCGUGAGUGAAGAAGGUUUUCGGAUCGUAAAGCUCUGUUGUUGGUGAAGAAGGAUAGAGGUAGUAACUGGCCUUUAUUUGACGGUAAUCAACCAGAAAGUCACGGCUAACUACGUGCCAGCAGCCGCGGUAAUACGUAGGUGGCAAGCGUUGUCCGGAUUUAUUGGGCGUAAAGCGAGCGCAGGCGGAGAAAUAAGUCUGAUGUGAAAGCCCUCGGCUUAACCGGGGAAUUGCAUCGGAAACUGUUUUUCUUGAGUGCAGAAGAGGAGAGUGGAACUCCAUGUGUAGCGGUGGAAUGCGUAGAUAUAUGGAGG